CCUACGGGGGGCAGCAGUGAGGAAUAUUGGUCAAUGGGCGCGAGCCUGAACCAGCCAAGUCGCGUGAGGGAAGACGGUCCUAUGGAUUGUAAACCUCUUUUGUCGGGGAGCAAAAGACGCCACGCGUGGCGUUCCGAGAGUACCCUAAGAACAAGCAUCGGCUAACUCCGUGCCAGCAGCCGCGGUAAUACGGAGGAUGCGAGCGUUAUCCGGAUUUAUUGGGUUUAAAGGGUGCGCAGGCGGAAGAUCAAGUCAGCGGUAAAAUUGAGAGGCUCAACCUCUUCGAGCCGUUGAAACUGGUUGUCUUGAGUGAGCGAGAAGUAUGCGGAAUGCGUGGUGUAGCGGUGAAAUGCAUAGAUAUCACGCAGAACUCCGAUUGCGAAGGCAGCAUACCGGCGCUCAACUGACGCUCAUGCACGAAAGUGUGGGUAUCGAACAGGAUUAGAUACCCUAGUAGUC
Molecule: ribosomal RNA, 459 nt
Filed under: uncultured bacterium
Lineage: Bacteria
Description: partial 16S ribosomal RNA
Rfam family: Bacterial small subunit ribosomal RNA
Source: RNAcentral